RNAcentral lists this long non-coding RNA (201 nucleotides) under Mytilus galloprovincialis (Mediterranean mussel). Lineage: Eukaryota; Metazoa; Mollusca; Bivalvia; Mytilida; Mytilidae. The record is from RNAcentral.
GAGGUAUUUAACAAUAUAAGCCUGGUUGCACUAAGUACUAACAUGUUGGUCAAAAGUAUAGUUUCAACUACAAUAUAAACUUAUAUUCGUUUCUUUUUUUUAUAAUAACAAAAUUAAAUAAAUGAAACACAUCAUCUUAUUUUGCUGAACAUUGUAAAUAGGUAUAGGAAGAUGUGGUAUGAGUGCCAAGUGAGACAACAC